RNAcentral lists this ribosomal RNA (305 nucleotides) under uncultured bacterium. Its description in RNAcentral is "partial 16S ribosomal RNA". It matches the Rfam family "Bacterial small subunit ribosomal RNA", at positions 505 to 807 of the family's 1533-position model. The record is from RNAcentral.
ACAGCAGCAGCCGCGGGAAAACGUAGGGUGCAAGCGUUAAUCGGAAUUACUGGGCGUAAAGCGUGCGCAGGCGGUUCUAUAAGACAGAUGUGAAAUCCCCGGGCUCAACCUGGGAACUGCAUUUGUGACUGUAGAGCUGGAGUGCGGCAGAGGGGGAUGGAAUUCCGCGUGUAGCAGUGAAAUGCGUAGAUAUGCGGAGGAACACCGAUGGCGAAGGCAAUCCCCUGGGCCUGCACUGACGCUCAUGCACGAAAGCGUGGGGAGCAAACAGGAUUAGAUACCCCCGUAGUCCCUGUCUCUUAUAC